RNAcentral lists this transfer RNA (73 nucleotides) under Penicillium roqueforti FM164. Its description in RNAcentral is "tRNA-Val (TAC) (tRNA-Val-TAC-1-1)". It matches the Rfam family "tRNA". Rfam says of the family: Transfer RNA (tRNA) molecules are approximately 80 nucleotides in length. Their secondary structure includes four short double-helical elements and three loops (D, anti-codon, and T loops). Lineage: Eukaryota; Fungi; Ascomycota; Eurotiomycetes; Eurotiales; Aspergillaceae. The record is from RNAcentral.
GACCGACUGGCCAAGUGGUUAAGGCGUCUGUCUUACACACAGAAGGUCGCAGGUUCGAUCCCUGCGUCGGUCA